This 762-nucleotide unclassified non-coding RNA is filed under the name Hevea brasiliensis (rubber tree). Lineage: Eukaryota; Viridiplantae; Streptophyta; Magnoliopsida; Malpighiales; Euphorbiaceae. The record is from RNAcentral.
UUAUUAUUAUUAUUAUUAUUUACUGGUGCGAUUAUAUCUGGCUUGCUGCUGUUUACUAACGAACUUACUAAAGAACAGUUGGCAUCUUGUCAUAUAUUGGUACUCAUUGUGGUUCAGUUCUGAAGUAUUAGUUAGAGAUGUUAAAACUUCAUCAGCUGGUUGCUUAAACAUUGUUGAAUUUUGAUACAAAUCAAAAUUUUCUGAUUAGAAAGAUUCAUGUUUACAAAUUGGAUAACAAUAUGGAUAGGUAACAUUUGGCUGGUUGUCAAACCAGUUAGUUCUGUUGACUUUAAAUUUAGCAAUAGAAAAACUAUGAGAUUGUGUCUGGAUAGAGAAUUUGAAAUGAAGUUUUAGUUCAACUUCAAAUUAUGUAAAAUAAAGGUUUGAACUCCAAAAUGAAGGAAAAGAAAUGCUUCUACCAAUUCUAAGGGUCUACUGGAAAUUUCACUUUUUUAAUAGGUGUCUCAAAUUCAUCUUAAAAUAACUUUUCAUCCACAUUUGGUGCGAUGGCUUGUUAAUUAGGUCUUCUCUUGGCCUCAUGUUACUUAAACCAUUUGCAUGCUACUAGAUUAAUAUCAUUAGAUUACGCUGUCACUUUCUGGCAAAAGCAAAGUUCAAUAUUCAGACAUCAUAUGCUUGAUUAUCAGUUUAUAAUGUCCAAAUAUCUAUUAUUUGCUUAACUUUGCAUGGCUAUCAGUUUUCCCACCUUUUCAGACUGAACUUAGUGCUGAUUGUCACAGGUCUUUUCUCUGCGGUGGUUCG